RNAcentral lists this small nuclear RNA (19 nucleotides) under Arabidopsis thaliana (thale cress). RNAcentral's name for it is "snRNA_18136". Lineage: Eukaryota; Viridiplantae; Streptophyta; Magnoliopsida; Brassicales; Brassicaceae. The record is from RNAcentral.
UCAUGCUAUCUCUUUGGAU